GUGUUAUGUGAAACAAGAAGAGGUGAGCUAUGAUGAGAAUGGAAAAGGUCCUAGCUGCCUUUACAUUACAUAUAUGGUUAAGACAUUACCAUCCACUCUAUGGUAUCUAAUUAUGUUUUUUU
Small nuclear RNA from Trichosurus vulpecula (common brushtail), 122 nucleotides. Lineage: Eukaryota; Metazoa; Chordata; Mammalia; Diprotodontia; Phalangeridae. The record is from RefSeq and is a predicted model, not a curated record.